CACAGGAGAGCUUGCUCUCUGGGUGGCGAGUGGCGGACGGGUGAGGAAUACAUCGGAAUCUACCUUUUCGUGGGGGAUAACGUAGGGAAACUUACGCUAAUACCGCAUACGACCUACGGGUGAAAGUGGGGGACCGCAAGGCCUCACGCGAUUAGAUGAGCCGAUGUCCGAUUAGCUAGUUGGCGGGGUAAUGGCCCACCAAGGCGACGAUCGGUAGCUGGUCUGAGAGGAUGAUCAGCCACACUGGAACUGAGACACGGUCCAGACUCCUACGGGAGGCAGCAGUGGGGAAUAUUGGACAAUGGGCGCAAGCCUGAUCCAGCCAUACCGCGUGGGUGAAGAAGGCCUUCGGGUUGUAAAGCCCUUUUGUUGGGAAAGAAAUCCUAUCGGUUAAUAACCGGUGGGGAUGACGGUACCCAAAGAAUAAGCACCGGCUAACUUCGUGCCAGCAGCCGCGGUAAUACGAAGGGUGCAAGCGUUACUCGGAAUUACUGGGCGUAAAGCGUGCGUAGGUGGUGGUUUAAGUCUGCUGUGAAAGCCCUGGGCUCAACCUGGGAAUUGCAGUGGAUACUGGAUCACUAGAGUGUGGUAGAGGGAUGCGGAAUUUCUGGUGUAGCAGUGAAAUGCGUAGAGAUCAGAAGGAACAUCCGUGGCGAAGGCGGCAUCCUGGGCCAACACUGACACUGAGGCACGAAAGCGUGGGGAGCAAACAGGAUUAGACACCCUGGUAGUCCACGCCCUAAACGAUGCGAACUGGAUGUUGGGUGCAACUUGGCACCCAGUAUCGAAGCUAACGCGUUAAGUUCGCCGCCUGGGGAGUACGGUCGCAAGACUGAAACUCAAAGGAAUUGACGGGGGCCCGCACAAGCGGUGGAGUAUGUGGUUUAAUUCGAUGCAACGCGAAGAACCUUACCUGGUCUUGACAUCCA
This 929-nucleotide ribosomal RNA is filed under the name uncultured bacterium. RNAcentral's name for it is "bacterial SSU rRNA". It matches the Rfam family "Bacterial small subunit ribosomal RNA", at positions 70 to 990 of the family's 1533-position model. The record is from RNAcentral.